Molecule: long non-coding RNA, 218 nt
Organism: Clupea harengus (Atlantic herring)
Lineage: Eukaryota; Metazoa; Chordata; Actinopteri; Clupeiformes; Clupeidae
Exons: 3
Source: RefSeq, a predicted model, not a curated record
CUCUCCAGAAGCUCGUCGAGUGGAUCACCUACUUUCUCCAUCGAUUCAGUUUGGAGUAGAACAGAUGAGAUUGGACUGAGCACACCUGCAAUCAGUCUUCCAGCUCAGGUGACAAGUGACUCUGAGCCCAGUGGGAAACGGGAUUCUCCCGUAGUUGAUAUUGAGGCUGACCGCUUGCAGUCGCUGACAAUCCAGAAUCUGGCUGUGGAGGGGGACAC